CAGGAGGAGAGGAGAGCGGAGAUAGAGAAGCGGGGCAGGAGGGGGAGAUAUACAUGGAAGACAUGAAUCCGUCCGCAUGUGUGUGUUUGUGUAAAUGUAAAAAAUGGAUGCAUCCUCCACCUCCUGCUGCAUCAGGACGGUGGGGGCGCCGCGCGUUUUCUCACCCCGGUUUGAGUGCACCAGAUCUGUCACUGCGCGGGGGGUGGAGAGAAUGUCACGGAGGAGGUAUGUCUUUCUUCAUCGUAUCCAUCCACAUGGUAUUUUAAUUGGGGUUUCUUUUCACCGGGAAAAAAAAAGAGGGAGAACACAGGUGAGAGAGAGGGGGGGGGGGGCUGCUCUGGGUUUCCAUCCUCACCUCCUCAGCUAUGCGGCCCUCGCGGUAACCACACACACACACACACACACACACACACACACGGGCCAGUUAGCCCUGAGUGGCAUUGUGCGGUGCCGCAUGUGUUUGUAUUGAACCCCGCCGCACAAUGGCGCAGCUGACAUUCCUUGUGCGUUGGAUAAGCCGGCUUCAUAGAAACAUAACAACACGGCUAAAACCCGAAGCGUCUCCCAGAGACUGUCAACACCGCCUCGGCCGCGGAGACGCUGAUUGAGCCUGGGAAAUAGGACAGAGGAUUUCUGCAGAGAGGCUGCGGCCGUGUGUGUGUGUGUGUGUGUGUGGUUAAUACAGUAUAUGUUUGUGUAUCAAUAUGUGAGCGAGCGUGCAUGUGCAUGAGCAUGUGUGCGUGCGUUGUAUGUUGAUGGUUGAUGUACAGGUCUGGAGGGCAAACGCUCCAGGCUGCUCUCGUUAAGAACCUGUCAGUCAUCGGCAGAGAGGAACCAAAAGGAGUCCAAAUCGCAACACUGAGCCGCCGUGUAUGUGUGUGUACACGUGUUUGUGUGUGUGUGUGUAGAAAAUGCAUUCAGCCACUUGGCUACUACCAAAAAAAAAAAAAUCACGCCAGGAGAAAGGGGGAACGAGGCGGUGGCGGAACGUGAAGCCACACUGCCCUCCAGUGGUUCUGGGUCGCAUCACCGCCGCAGCGGCGCCUUGUGAAAGCGGAGACUUUGGUGAUUGAGUAAAACGAGGAACUAGUUCACCGCGCAGAGUUGAGUAAUUAGAAGAAAUGAAAGGGUUUAGAGUUUUUUCUUCUUUUGCGUUAUCAUGUGCGACAUCACAGUGUAAGAGCACGGGCAGGAAGCACAAAGGGGAAGCGUAGAGCGGCUCUGACUCAGUUCUUAUCACAGUUCUUCAGAGACACGCAACUGUGUGGUGUUCGUCUCCACGCAGCUGGACGGACCGACGUCAGAACCGGGGAUUGAUCUGGACUCAGGCCCACUUCUGAUUAUUGCUGUGCAUUAAUGCGGCUCAAUUAGUAGAGCCUUUAAACGAUGUUAGAAGCGUCUUUGGGAUCUGUGGGAAUCAUUUUAUGAUUCUCACCAUCAGCGGCCUACAUGUCCUGUCAGCUGCUCCUCAGUGUAACUGCAUCCAAAACCAACCCUGUAAAGCUCAAAUAGUAACGAGUCAUUAAUGACAGAAGUAAACUUCUAAUGAAGCGUUUUAGCAGCAGGCUCUGUGUUCUGGAUAAACAGUCACCUUUAAAAGUGUCAAAAUCGCCUUUGAAUGAAUCAACACGCAGACGCUGAACGUGGGUUGCAAAACGGCAGCCUGUGAAACCUUUAGCCCACAUACAAAGUGCACGGUGCAAGGGUUGCAUGCGUGUUGCUGCAGAGCGUGCUCAGCCUGCCAUCCAUUUUUAUCUCCCUCCCUGUGGUCACAGCUGUGACUGCACAGAGGAGGGGCUGCAGUCACUGCGUGGCUUUAAGGAGCCUCUGAUGUUUGCAACGACGGGAGGAGGAGGUGGAGGAAAGGAUGAACAUGGGCCAAAGUGAGACGGGAAACAGAGGAUCGGACGUCUGAGCAACAGUCCAAGAUUGUAGAAGCUGAAACCAACAAGAAAUUGGGGAAGCUGUGACACGGUUUCUGGGCCAGGCCACGCCCCCUCCAACCACGCUACAUAAGCACCAGCGCCUAAAAUAGAGACUUUAUUCACCUGCUGUCACUCUAUUAGAUCAGUUCCUGCCGGUUAUGAACACUCUCACCUUUUCUGACUUUGUAUACUGAAUCACAGUUUGACUGAUACUUUGCACUUCUUGCAAGUUUUAUAUGAAUUCAGGGGAAUUUACCUAAUCUGAGGUAAGAUCAGUAUUUCCCCUGAAGCGAACUGAGGAACGUCUGUCAUGUGGGAGGAAAGACGUUGCCUAGUUUCCCUUCACCUUGUUGCUCUGUGACGGAUGUGAACCAGGAGCUGGGUUCCAUAAAUACACGGAGCCACCAGCCUCGUACUGUACAAGUAUCACGUACUGAACAAUGCGCAUGUCACUGAAACAGCAGACCUGUUGUUUUACUGGUCUUCACACUUAUCAGUGUCACAACUCUAACACAUUAAUGUGGCCUGAACAUUGGACAGAUUGUUCUGUAGCAGCCUUUAAUUUUUAGCGCCAGAUCAGAUCAGACCCUGCAGAAUGACUGAGUGACUUAAUCAACAAGACAUAUCAACACAAGGGCCGUGUUCAACGCCGCCCUAUCAACACAAAUGGAUAAUCAAGAAUACACACACACACACACACACAAGGGCGAUUGCAGCUAUAAAGGCAGUCACAAGGCACCUGCCACACAGAGUUGAACAGUUUCUGCAGUUUAACACACACUUUCUGUUUCUCUUUUUGAAACCCUCAUCUUCUUUUCCCGCUGUUUCAGAAUAGAGGUUGCUCAUGAGCUUUACAGUCCAUGACAUGCAGUAGAGCGAGACCCUCCUCCUGGUGAUUCCCCUCCAUGCUUGACCUUACACUCCUAUCCUAUACCAGAAGUAUCCUGUGGAGGCACAAGGUAGAGUUCCAUAUGCAGAUUUUCAAGACUGGACUCAUUUGAACUAGUUUGGAGGCUAACUAUGGUUUGCUAUUCAGGUAUCAAGUCUUUAAUGCUAAAAAUCUGUCAGAAGCCACAAGAAUGUUUAAAGUGGCUGAUUAAAUCAAAGGGAGCCGGUUGCUGAUGUGGCCUCAUGCCGGCAUCAUUAAUGUUUGCUGUUUUCUGGUUUCCAGCCAGAAUAGUCACGUGGGCCUUCUGCUCCGAUUUCAGGGAAUUCAACUAAAUGUCAUUAAUAAAAAAGACUCACACCAAACGUGUGGUCA
RNAcentral lists this long non-coding RNA (3186 nucleotides) under Betta splendens (Siamese fighting fish). RNAcentral describes it as "lncRNA (ENSBSLG00000025770.1)". Lineage: Eukaryota; Metazoa; Chordata; Actinopteri; Anabantiformes; Osphronemidae. The record is from RNAcentral.